Molecule: non-coding RNA, 73 nt
Filed under: Metapseudomonas otitidis
Lineage: Bacteria; Pseudomonadati; Pseudomonadota; Gammaproteobacteria; Pseudomonadales; Pseudomonadaceae
Source: RNAcentral
GAGCGAAACCGCCCCGGCCUGGCCGGGGAUGGUCUGCCGGGCGUGGUGGCCCGGUACUGAUGAGCAGCCCGAA